This 222-nucleotide ribosomal RNA is filed under the name uncultured bacterium. RNAcentral's name for it is "partial 16S ribosomal RNA". It matches the Rfam family "Bacterial small subunit ribosomal RNA", at positions 109 to 334 of the family's 1533-position model. The record is from RNAcentral.
AGUAAUGCUUGGGAAUCUAGCUUAUGGAGGGGGAUAACUACGGGAAACUGUAGCUAAUACCGCGUAGUAUCGGAAGAUGAAAGUGUGGGACCUUCGGGCCACAUGCCAUAGGAUGAGCCCAAGUGGGAUUAGGUAGUUGGUGAGGUAAAGGCUCACCAAGCCGACGAUCUCUAGCUGGUCUGAGAGGAUGACCAGCCACACUGGGACUGAGACACAGCCCAG